UCCUCCCUCUUUCUUCGUGCUUAACACAUGCAAGUCGAACGGAAAGGCCCUGCUUUUGUGGGGUGCUCGAGUGGCGAACGGGUGAGUAACACGUGAGUAACCUGCCCUUGACUUUGGGAUAACUUCAGGAAACUGGGGCUAAUACCGGAUAGGAGCUCCUGCUGCAUGGUGGGGGUUGGAAAGUUUCGGCGGUUGGGGAUGGACUCGCGGCUUAUCAGCUUGUUGGUGGGGUAGUGGCUUACCAAGGCUUUGCCGGGUAGCCGGCCUGAGAGGGUGACCGGCCACAUUGGGACUGAGAUACGGCCCAGACUCCUACGGGAGGCAGCAGUGGGGAAUAUUGCACAAUGGGCGGAAGCCUGAUGCAGCAACGCCGCGUGUGGGAUGACGGCCUUCGGGUUGUAAACCGCUUUCGCCUGUGACGAAGCGUGAGUGACGGUAAUGGGUAAAGAAGCACCGGCUAACUACGUG
Molecule: ribosomal RNA, 468 nt
Filed under: uncultured bacterium
Lineage: Bacteria
Description: partial 16S ribosomal RNA
Rfam family: Bacterial small subunit ribosomal RNA
Source: RNAcentral